This 1345-nucleotide ribosomal RNA is filed under the name uncultured bacterium. Its description in RNAcentral is "bacterial SSU rRNA". It matches the Rfam family "Bacterial small subunit ribosomal RNA", at positions 28 to 1381 of the family's 1533-position model. The record is from RNAcentral.
GACGAACGCUGGCGGCGUGCUUAACACAUGCAAGUCGAACGGAAAGGCCCUGCUUUUGUGGGGUGCUCGAGUGGCGAACGGGUGAGUAACACGUGAGUAACCUGCCCUUGACUUUGGGAUAACUUCAGGAAACUGGGGCUAAUACCGGAUAGGAGCUCCUGCUGCAUGGUGGGGGUUGGAAAGUUUCGGCGGUUGGGGAUGGACUCGCGGCUUAUCAGCUUGUUGGUGGGGUAGUGGCUUACCAAGGCUUUGACGGGUAGCCGGCCUGAGAGGGUGACCGGCCACAUUGGGACUGAGAUACGGCCCAGACUCCUACGGGAGGCAGCAGUGGGGAAUAUUGCACAAUGGGCGGAAGCCUGAUGCAGCAACGCCGCGUGCGGGAUGACGGCCUUCGGGUUGUAAACCGCUUUCGCCUGUGACGAAGCGUGAGUGACGGUAAUGGGUAAAGAAGCACCGGCUAACUACGUGCCAGCAGCCGCGGUGAUACGUAGGGUGCGAGCGUUGUCCGGAUUUAUUGGGCGUAAAGGGCUCGUAGGUGGUUGAUCGCGUCGGAAUGUAAUCUUGGGGCUUAACCCUGAGCGUGCUUUCGAUACGGGUUGACUUGAGGAAGGUAGGGGAGAAUGGAAUUCCUGGUGGAGCGGUGGAAUGCGCAGAUAUCAGGAGGAACACCAGUGGCGAAGGCGGUUCUCUGGGCCUUUCCUGACGCUGAGGAGCGAAAGCGUGGGGAGCGAACAGGCUUAGAUACCCUGGUAGUCCACGCUGUAAACGGUGGGUACUAGGUGUGGGGUCCAUUCCACGGGUUCCGUGCCGUAGCUAACGCUUUAAGUACCCCGCCUGGGGAGUACGGCCGCAAGGCUAAAACUCAAAGGAAUUGACGGGGCCCCGCACAAGCGGCGGAGCAUGCGGAUUAAUUCGAUGCAACGCGUAGAACCUUACCUGGGUUUGACAUGGAUCGGGAGCGCUCAGAGAUGGGUGUGCCUCUUUUGGGGUCGGUUCACAGGUGGUGCAUGGCUGUCGUCAGCUCGUGUCGUGAGAUGUUGGGUUAAGUCCCGCAACGAGCGCAACCCUUGUUCACUGUUGCCAGCACGUUAUGGUGGGGACUCAGUGGAGACCGCCGGGGUCAACUCGGAGGAAGGUGGGGAUGACGUCAAGUCAUCAUGCCCCUUAUGUCCAGGGCUUCACGCAUGCUACAAUGGCUGGUACAGAGAGUGGCGAGCCUGUGAGGGUGAGCGAAUCUCGGAAAGCCGGUCUCAGUUCGGAUUGGGGUCUGCAACUCGACCUCAUGAAGUCGGAGUCGCUAGUAAUCGCAGAUCAGCAACGCUGCGGUGAAUACGUUCCCGGGGCU